GAGACUAUAGCUUGGUGGUAGAGUGCAUGCCUAGCAUGCUCAAGGUCCUGGGUUCAAUCCCCAGUACUUCCG
This 72-nucleotide transfer RNA is filed under the name Camelus bactrianus (Bactrian camel). It matches the Rfam family "tRNA". From Rfam's summary of the family: Transfer RNA (tRNA) molecules are approximately 80 nucleotides in length. Their secondary structure includes four short double-helical elements and three loops (D, anti-codon, and T loops). Lineage: Eukaryota; Metazoa; Chordata; Mammalia; Artiodactyla; Camelidae. The record is from Rfam by way of RNAcentral. RNAcentral also lists the same sequence under 1 other name.